CAGGGUUUGAUCCUGGCUCAGGACGAACGCUGGCGGCGUGCCUAAUACAUGCAAGUAGAACGCACAGGAUGCACCGUAGUUUACUACACCGUAUUCUGUGAGUUGCGAACGGGUGAGUAACGCGUAGGUAACCUGCCUGGUAGCGGGGGAUAACUAUUGGAAACGAUAGCUAAUACCGCAUAAGAACAUUUACUGCAUGGUAGAUGUUUAAAAGGUGCAAAUGCAUCACUACCAGAUGGACCUGCGUUGUAUUAGCUAGUAGGUGAGGUAACGGCUCACCUAGGCGACGAUACAUAGCCGACCUGAGAGGGUGAUCGGCCACACUGGGACUGAGACACGGCCCAGACUCCUACGGGAGGCAGCAGUAGGGAAUCUUCGGCAAUGGGGGGAACCCUGACCGAGCAACGCCGCGUGAGUGAAGAAGGUUUUCGGAUCGUAAAGCUCUGUUGUUAAGGAAGAACGAGUGUGAGAAUGGAAAGUUCAUACUGUGACGGUACUUAACCAGAAAGGGACGGCUAAUUCCGUGCCAGCA
RNAcentral lists this ribosomal RNA (532 nucleotides) under uncultured bacterium. RNAcentral's name for it is "bacterial SSU rRNA". It matches the Rfam family "Bacterial small subunit ribosomal RNA", at positions 8 to 513 of the family's 1533-position model. The record is from RNAcentral.